Molecule: ribosomal RNA, 253 nt
Filed under: uncultured bacterium
Lineage: Bacteria
Description: partial 16S ribosomal RNA
Rfam family: Bacterial small subunit ribosomal RNA
Source: RNAcentral
UCCGUAGGUGGCAAGCGUUAUCCGGAAUUAUUGGGCGUAAAGAGCGCGCAGGUGGUUGAUUAAGUCUGAUGUGAAAGCCCACGGCUUAACCGUGGAGGGUCAUUGGAAACUGGUCAACUUGAGUGCAGAAGAGGGAAGUGGAAUUCCAUGUGUAGCGGUGAAAUGCGUAGAGAUAUGGAGGAACACCAGUGGCGAAGGUGGCUUCCUGGUCUGUAACUGACACUGAGGCGCGAAAGCGUGGGGAGAAAACAGG